GUCCUCCCGUCCUUGGGUACUCAUGCACGUGUCGGGCAUGUUUCAGGCUGGCUGGGCCAAGGAUUCAACCUAUGGUUACCGUGUGGGAUCCACUUUUUCUUGACCGGUGCGUCACCACUGCAUCAUGGAGCCAGCCUGGGAAAUACGAAUUGUGAAAGGAGCAACAAGGGACUAAAAGCCACUAAAACUGAUUGAUACGAUGAAAUUGUUCUGAAGAUACUGACCAUCAGUCCAUACCCCCUGGAUUCUACCCUGAUGGAUGUAUCUUUCCAGAGGAAUGAGUGGUGAAAUCGUCAGUACUUUGCGCACCAGACUUCCGAACUGAAAAGAAGCAAAGGCGAGAUGGUGUUGCUGUUACAUCUGGACUAGAAGAACAGAAGGGGAAGAUCAGGACACAUUUGGAGGCAGAGAGAAAAUGCUGUUGAAGAGGAUAAGCAUUGCAGAGCUGCUUCUAUGGGCCUGCGACCCCUGCACACAUCCAGGGCCCUACAUUCGAUGUAAAGCUCUACUGUCAUUGUCUAAAUUCUUCAUAUAU
This is a long non-coding RNA of Tupaia belangeri chinensis (Chinese tree shrew), 535 nucleotides long. RefSeq lists it as uncharacterized. The transcript has 3 exons. The record is from RefSeq and is a predicted model, not a curated record. Lineage: Eukaryota; Metazoa; Chordata; Mammalia; Scandentia; Tupaiidae.